This 500-nucleotide ribosomal RNA is filed under the name uncultured cyanobacterium. RNAcentral's name for it is "bacterial SSU rRNA". It matches the Rfam family "Bacterial small subunit ribosomal RNA", at positions 357 to 870 of the family's 1533-position model. The record is from RNAcentral. Lineage: Bacteria; Bacillati; Cyanobacteriota.
GGUAAUUUUCCGCAAUGGGCGCAAGCCUGACGGAGCAAUACCGCGUGAGGGAGGAAGGCUCUUGGGUCGUAAACCUCUUUUCUCAGGGAAGAACAAAAUGACGGUACCUGAGGAAUCAGCAUCGGCUAACUCCGUGCCAGCAGCCGCGGUAAUACGGAGGAUGCAAGCGUUAUCCGGAAUGAUUGGGCGUAAAGCGUCCGUAGGUGGUUAUGUAAGUCUGUGGUUAAAGCGUGGGGCUCAACCCCAUAAAGGCCAUGGAAACUACAAGACUUGAGUGAAGUAGGGGUAGAGGGAAUUCCCAGUGUAGCGGUGAAAUGCGUAGAGAUUGGGAAGAACACCGGUGGCGAAAGCGCUCUACUGGACUUAAACUGACACUGAGGGACGAAAGCUAGGGGAGCGAAAGGGAUUAGAUACCCCUGUAGUCCUAGCCGUAAACGAUGGAUACUAGGUGUUGCCCGUAUCGACCCGGGCAGUGCCGUAGCUAACGCGUUAAGUAUCCC